RNAcentral lists this long non-coding RNA (28137 nucleotides) under Carica papaya (papaya). RNAcentral describes it as "long non-coding RNA (CPAP_LNC012126)". Lineage: Eukaryota; Viridiplantae; Streptophyta; Magnoliopsida; Brassicales; Caricaceae. The record is from RNAcentral.
GAUGGUAAGCGGUGCUGAAGUACAACCCAAACCCCAAGGCUUCUUGAAAGUUAUCCCAGAAGUGAGGGGUGAAACGAGGGUUGCGGUUGGAUACAAUGGACGAGGGAACUCUAUGGGGUCGAACAAUCUCAUCCACAUAUAGGCGGGCUAACUUACUGGUGGAGUCCUUAGUUCAAAUAGGCAAGAAAUGGACAAUCUUGGUCAGCUUAUCUAUAAUGACCCAAAUGACAUUUUGAUCGGAACAGGUCCUGGGCAAUCCGGUGACAAAAUUCAUAGUUACGUGCUCCUAUUUUCAUUUAGGAAUUGGAAGACACUAUAGCAAGCCACUGGGUCUCUAAUGUUCUGCAUUUAUCCAUUGAUAAGUAGGGCAUCAAGAGACGUAAUCAACUAUAUCCUUCUUCAUUCCUGGCCACCAAUAUUGUCGUUUCAAGUCCCAGUACAUCUUGAUACUUCUAGGAUGGAUGGAUAAUUUGGAAGCAUGGGCAGUCUUAAGUACAUUUGUGCAUACUGCAUUAGGCACCCAAAUUCGGUUCUAGAAUCUGAACAACUCAUCAUCAGAGAUCCUAAAAUCAGGAGAUUCAUUCGAAGUAAACUUACCUAGGCUCUUGAUGAGUUUCGGAUCCGUGGCAUGUGUUUCCCAGAUCUUCAUGAAGAGACUCGGAUCUGGGCUCGGUAAUAGCUAAGGCGGAGUGAUUGCACGGUGUCCAUCAUCUUUUAACUUAAGACCAUGUUUUGGGCUAGCACAGCAGGCUCUCGUAGACCUAGAGCAUCGGCGAUUAUAUUCCUUCUCUUGAGGUAAAAAAUGAUCUGACAAUCAUAAUCCUUCAAAAGAUCCAUCCAACAUUUUUGCCUCAUGUUUAACUCCUGUUGUAAAAAGAUAUAUUUGAGACUCUUAUGGUCAAUGUAGAUUUCAAAAAUUUUGGCCAUACAGGUAAUACCGCCAUAACUUCAGAGUAAAGAUAAUGAUUGUCAACUCCAGGUCAUGGAUAAGGUAAUUCUGCUCAUGGAAUUUGAGCUGUUGAGAUUUAAAGGCGACUACUCUACCAUGUUGCAUCAAGAUACACUCCAAACCAAUAUGAGAUGCAUCACAGUAAACUUAGAAUCUUCCCUUAUUAGUUGGGAGGAUCAACAUAGAGGUAGAGGUGAGACGGCAUUUUAGCUCCAUAAAACUUUCACUACAUGCAUAAUUCCAAACAAAGGGUACACUCUUUCUGGUGAGCCAAGUCAUAGGGGCAGUAAUCUUGGCAAAUCCGUCAAUGAAUCGUCGGCAGUAGCCUGCUAAGCCAAGAAAACUACAUACCUCGACCACAUUGGUGGGCGGACUCUAGUUGGUCACUGAUUCCACUUUAGACAAGUCUACAGAUACUCAUUCACUUGAGAUUACAUGAUUGAGAAAAGAAACUUGAUCCAACCAAAAGGAGUACUUAAUUUAACAUAUAGUUAGUUUUGGCGGAGGGCCUUCAGCACUUCAGCCAAAUGCACAAUAUCUUCCCCAUGGCUUUUGGAAUACACAAGAAUGUCAUCAAUAAAUACGAUGACGUCUUGAUCUAGUGCGUGCUGGAAAACUCGAUUCAUUAGGUCCAUGAAAGUUGUUGGAGUAUUGGUCAAUUUGAAUGACAUCACCUUGAACUCGUACAAUCUGUAUCUACACCAAAAGGCAAUUUUUAGAAUAUCUUCUUCCUUCACUCUCAACUGGUGGUACUCGGUUCUGAGAUCGAUCUUAGAGAAGACAGUGGCUCCUUGUAGUUGAUCAAAGAGAUUGUCGAUCUGGGGUAAAGGGUACUUACUUUUAACAGUCACUCGAUUGGGUUCUCUAUAGUCCAUGCAGAGUUGGAGCGGACCAUCUUUUUUCCUUAGUAAUAACACCGGAGCACCCCAAGGAGAAUAGCUAAGGCGAAUGACUUUCCAGAUGAUAAGAUUAGAAAGUUGAUGUUUCAUCUCUAUUAGCUCACUGUGACUCAUGCGAUACGCAAGCUUUGAGAUCGGUUGGGUUCCAGACAAUAAUUCAAUCAGGAACUCUACCUUACGUGGUGAUGGAAACAAGGCUAAAAAUGCUCAAAAUACUCAAAGAGCAUCAAAAGGUGACUUGGAGCAAAUUUCAAAUGACGUAAACACAAAUAGAGUUCCAAACCUGAAAAGUUUCAGCAGACUAGUAACAAGAUCAAAGGUAAAGAAGCUUAAAGAGUUGCUCCAAGUUUUUACUCAAAAAUAUGUGGAUGAUGGGCUGGCCAAUUGUGGAAAGUUCAAAUAUGAGCUUUUUGAACAACCAAAAUUCGUAACUUUAAUUGAGUUUAAAUUAUUUGGGAUAAUUUGGGCUAGAUUAGUUGAGUUAUUUUAAGUAUUUUGGAUUGUUUUAUUUUAGUUUGAGUUAAUUAAGCCCAUAUAGUCAAGUGUAACUCAUUUGAGCUUAAGUCCUGUCUUAGUGUUAUUACGAGAAUGAGCUCAUAACUAUAUGGUGCCAUAAAUAAUUAGUGGUGUUGGUUAAGAAGAUUGGAGUUACAAAGAGUCACAUAACAAUUACAUGCCUAUAAUUAGCCAAGUUAUUGUUGGAGUUACAAUUGUAAUUAUCAUAUAAUUAGCCUAGUUAUUGUGGGAGUUACAAUUGUAGUUAUUGUGUUGUAACUUAUCAUUGAUUUCUUUGGUUAUAAAUACCAAAGGAACUCUUUUUUGUGGACGUAAAGAGUGGUAAUCAAAUAUUUCAUAAUUGAGUUAAGAGUGUUUUGGCUUGCUUUUCACUUUAUGCACAAGGUGCUGAUUUAGAAUAAAAUGGUUAUCACUUGUAUUCAAUUUUGAUUUCCUAUUUCAAUUGUUCUUUGUGCUUGUUUGGAUAGGGUUCAAGGAAUAUCAUUUAUCUUUCUUGGGUUCUAUUUAAUUUCUACCAUUUGGGUGAUUGAAAAAAUUUGCUUCCUUUUUACUUGAUAUCUAAAUUCUGUUCUACACUAAUUAAAGAGUUCUAAGGUUCAAGUAAGGGUCUUGGGGUUNNNNNNNNNNNNNNNNNNNNNNNNNNNNNNNNNNNNNNNNNNNNNNNNNNNNNNNNNNNNNNNNNNNNNNNNNNNNNNNNNNNNNNNNNNNNNNNNNNNNNNNNNNNNNNNNNNNNNNNNNNNNNNNNNNNNNNNNNNNNNNNNNNNNNNNNNNNNNNNNNNNNNNNNNNNNNNNNNNNNNNNNNNNNNNNNNNNNNNNNNNNUUAGAUUCACCAUUUUUUUUCUUGCAUCUUUAGUUUUCAUUUAAUAUUUCUGCCAAUUUGCUUCUUAUUAUAUCUUGAGGUAAUAAUAUUGAUUUGUUGUUGCCUAAUUAAUAUAAAAAUCAUCAUACACUUAUUUCUAUAUCAAGUGUGUGCUCUUCAUUGUUUAGAUUUCUCGAGUAGAAUUCGUGUAUCUUGUUUCUUUAGGAAUUUUUUGUUAUCUCUAAUUAAAAUUGAGUACAUAGUGAUAAUUAAUGGUUGUUUGAAUUGGCCAUUUUGUAUAAAGUUAUAAAAGAUUGCUUGAGUGGUAAAAAGCAAGAGAGUGUGAGCUCAAAAAAUGGUAAAAGCCAAAAUUGAGUGAAACACGAGUGCCUAUACUACGAGAGUAAACACGUGAGGUUGUGCAAUCUAUUUUAUUUGUCAUUAAAAUUUCAUAUUUGAAGAUGGUGCCACAAGGGAGUGAAAGAACAUCAAAAGAUCAAGAAUUCAUUCUCAAAGCAAUGCAAUAACAAUUUGAGAGGAUUCAACUAGUUAUUGGCAACAUGAAUGAGAAACUAGAAAAACAACAAAGUGAGUUAAAUUCCUUGAGAGGGGAAGCUUCCCAAACCAAUCCAAGGGCAAGAAGACUUCCAACACCACCUUUUGAUGAGGAAGUGGAGGAAGAAUUUGAUGACCAAGCUACUUUGGUCAAUGAAGAUCGAAAUUAUAGUGGGGUCGAAACGAUCUUGAUAAAAACAUUGGGAGUAUCAAAAUGAAAAUCCCAUCGUUUCUAGGCUAGAAUGAUCCAAAUGCUUAUCUUGAACGGGAGUGCAAGGUGGAGUUUAUUUUCUAGUGCCACAAUUAUUCGGAGGAGAAAAAGAUAAAGCUUAUGGCCGUGGAGUUUGGAAAGUAUGCCAUUGUGUGGUGGGAUCAACUCAUUACAAGCAAAAAGAGAAAUGGAGAGAGACGUAUUUCUACUUCGCCCGAAAUGAAGGCUAUCAUGAGAAGGUGCUUUGUUCUUACUCACUACUAUAGGGACUUACAUCAAAAAUUACAAAGCCUUAUACAAAGGAACAAGAGUAUAGAAGACUACUACAGAGAGAUGGAGAUAGCCAUGAUAAGAGUUAAUAUUGAAGAGGAUAGGGAAGCUACUAUGGCAAGGUUUUUAAAUGGCCUUAACAAAGACAUAGGCAAUAUUGUAGAACUUCAACAUUAUGUGGAGAUUGAUGAUAUGGUGCACAUGACUAUAAAUAUUGAAAGAUAAUUAAAGCAAAAGGGGAACACAAGGCAAGCGCAACACUUAUUCGGCCUAAAAUUUCAAUUAGAGGCCUAAUUGGAGUGGAGAUAAUAAGGCUGUCCAAUUCGAAAGAGAUGACAAAACCAAGCCAAAAGAUGCUAAUGAUAAUGAAAACAAAGGUAUUUCUAACUCCCAAACUCCUAAGAAUAGGGAUAUCAAGUGUUUUAGAUGCUUGAAUUUUGGUCAUAUUGCAUUUCAAUGCCGAAAUAAAAGGGUAAUGGUGAUGCGUGGUGAUGGUGAUGAAACAAAUGAUGAGAGUGAUGUGGAGGAUGAAAUGCCUCCUUUGGAGCAUUGUAGUGUUGGGAAAACACCUAUGGAAGGUAGAUUGUUGGUUUCUAGGCGUCCUUUGAAUACGCAAGUAAGGAAUGAUGAUGAGGGGGUUAAGUUGCAAAGAGAUAACAUUUUUCAUUCUAGAUGUCUAGUGAAUGAAAAAUUGUGUAGCAUGAUUAUUGAUGGGGGUAGUUGUGUAAAUGUGGCUAGUACCUUGUUUAUUGAUAAAAUUGGGUUUGAAAACUACAAAAUAUCCUAAACCUUAUAAACUGAAAUGGCUUAACAAUAGUGGAGAGAUGGGAGUUAAUAAACAAGUGAAUGUGUCUUUUACUAUUGGGAAGUAUAGUGAUGAGGUGACCUGUGAUGUAGUUCCUAUGCAAGCUAGUCAUUUUUUAUUGGGUAGACCAUGGCAAUGGGAUAGGAGAGUUAUGCAUGAUGGGUAUCUCAAUAGGUACAUGGUAGAAAAAGAGGGCAAAAAUUAUACUCUUUUUCCUUUGACCCCUAAACAAGUUUUUGAAGACCAAAUGCAACUUGAGAAGUCCCAUGAUGAACUCGCACAAAGAGAGGUCGAGAGAAAAAGAAAAGAAAAAGAAAAAAAGAAAAAAAAAGAGUGAGAGAAAAUUAGAGUGGAAAAAUGAAGAUCAAAAGGAAAAAAAAAAGAGGUACAUUCGACCAUAUAAAAGAAUGAGGGAAAAAAAUGAGCUUUUAUGCUAAAAUGAGAGAUGUGAGAAAAAUUUUAUUUUCUAACAAGCCAAUGAUUGUACUCAUGUAUAAGAAAGCUUGUUUCUCAACUAAUGAACUUGACCCUUCUUUACCAAGUGUUGUGGUUGAAGUUUUGCAGGAAUUUAGCGAUGUCUUUCUCGAUGAUCUACCUCAAGGUUUACCACUUUAAGAGGGAUUAAGCAUCAAAUUGACUUCAUUCUCGGGGCUGCCAUACCAAAUAGACCAGCCUAUAGGAACAAUCUCGAGGAGACCAAAGAGCUUCAAAGGUAAGUGGAUGAGCUCUUACAAAAGGGGCACAUUCGAGAAAGUUUAAGCCCAUGCGCAAUGCCCGUCUUAUUAGUACCCAAAAAAGAUGGUAGUUGGCACAUGUGUGUUGAUUUUAGAGUCGUCAACAAAAUAACAGUGAAAUAUUGACACCCAAUACCUCAACUUGAUGAUAUGUUAGAUGAGUUGCAUGAUGCUUGUGUUUUUUCUAAAAUUGAUCUUAAAAGUAGUUAUCACCAAAUAAGAAUGAAACUAGGAGAUGAAUGGAAAACUGCUUUUAAAACAAAACAAGGGUUAUAUGAGUGGUUGGUUAUGCCAUUUGGCUUAACUAAUGUGCCAAGUACUUUCAUACAUUUAAUAAACCAUAUUUUACGUGAAUUUAUUGAAAAGUUUGUGCUUGUCUACUUUGAUAACAUUCUUGUUUAUAGCAAAUCUAUUGAUGAGCAUGACAUGCAUUUGAGGCUAGUGUUUAACACAUUGCACAAGUUUCAACUAUGUUAACAUGAAGAAAUAUAUAUUUUGCAUUGAUCACAUCAUUUUCUUAGAAUAUAUCGUGAGUGCAAAAGGAAUCGAGGUAGAUAGUGAAAAGAUAAAGGCUAUUCAAGAGUGGCCGACACCUAAAAGUGUAAGUGAGGUGCGUAGUUUUUAUGGUUUGACAAGUUUCUAUAGAAGAUUUGUAAAAGAUUUUAGCACCGUUGCUGCCCCUUUAACUGAAAUCAUGAAAAAAGAUAAGGAGUUUGUUUGGGGAAAAGAACAAGAACAUGCAUUUUCCUUAUUGAAAGAAAAAUUAUGUAAUGCACUUUAUUAAGAUUGCCUAAUUUUGAUUUAACUUUUGAAAUUGAAUGUGAUACCUCUGAGCUUGGGAUAGGUGCUGUUCUUAUGCAGGAUAAAAGACUCAUUACUUACUUCAGUGAGAAGCUCAAUGGUGCACAAUUAAAUUAUUUCACCUAUGACAAAGAGUUUUAUGCUUUGGUAAGAGCAUUAGAGACAUGUUAGCAUUAUUUAUUAUUAAAAGAAUUUGUGAUUCACACUGAUCAUGAAUCUUUGAGGCAUUUAAAAAGGCAAGGCAAGCUUAAUAAACCAUAGGUAAAAUAAUAGAAUUCAUAGAGUCCUUCCCAUAUGUGAUCCAAUAUAAGUAACGAAAAAAAAAUAUGGUAGCUGAUGCGCUUUUAAAAAGGUACAGUCUUAUCUCUACUCUUUCUAUAAAGUUGUUGGGAUUUCAGCAUUUCAAAGAAUUGUAUGUGCAUGAUAGUGAUUUUUUAAAUGUUUAUGUGGCUUGUGAACAUGUGGCAUUUAAAGAAUUUUAUAGGCAUGAUGGUUUUCUAUUUAAAAAGAAAAAAUUAUGUGUGCCAAAUAGUUCUAUUAGGGAGUUCCUUGUUCGUGAAGCACAUAGUGGUGGUUUAAUUGGACAUUUUGGGAUUGACAAAACUUUGAGCAUUUUACAUGAACAUUUUUAUGUUGAGAAAAUUUGUGCGCCGUACAUCUAAUGUAGGCAAGUUAAGUUUAGAGUUCAACCACAUGGAUUAUAUAUGCCAUUACCCAUUCCUACACAUCUUUUGGUUGAUAUUUUUAUGGACUUUUUAUUGGGUUUGCCUAGGACUAGAAAAGGUCGAGACUCAAUAUUUAUUUUUGUUGAUUGUUUUUCUAAGAUGGCACACUUUAUACCAUGUCACAAAACAAAUGAUACCACACAUAUAACGGAUUUGUUUUUUUGCGAAGUUGUUAGAAUGCAUGGCAUUCCUAAACCAUUGUGUCCGAUAGGGAUGUUAAGUUUUUAAGCCACUUUUGACGAGUUUUGUGGUCUAAAUUUGGGACCAAACUUUUAUUUUCUACUACUUCACAUCCACAAAUGGAUGAUCAAACUGAAGUAGUGAAUAAAACACUUGGUACAUUAUUACGUGCUUUAAUUGUAAGGAAUGUUAAAACUUGAGAAGAUAUGCUACCAGUUGUUGAAUUUGCUUAUAAUCGGAGUAUAUAUUCUUCUACUAGGUUUUCUCCUUUUGAAAUUGUGUAUGGUUUUAAUCCCUUAACUCCAAUUGAUUUGUUGCUUAUUCUNNNNNNNNNNNNNNNNNNNNNNNNNNNNNNNNNNNNNNNNNNNNNNNNNNNNNNNNNNNNNNNNNNNNNNNNNNNNNNNNNNNNNNNNNNNNNNNNNNNNNNNNNNNNNNNNNNNNNNNNNNNNNNNNNNNNNNNNNNNNNNNNNNNNNNNNNNNNNNNNNNNNNNNNNNNNNNNNNNNNNNNNNNNNNNNNNNNNNNNNNNNNNNNNNNNNNNNNNNNNNNNNNNNNNNNNNNNNNNNNNNNNNNNNNNNNNNAACAAAGCUAAAAACACUUAAGAUACUCAAGAGCAUAAAAGAUGACUCGGAGCAAAUUUCAAAUGACUUAAACAUAAAAUAGAGUCCAACCUAAAAAGUUUCAGCGGACCAGUAACAAGAUCAAAGGCAAAGAAGCUUAAAAAGUUACUCCAAGUUUUCACUCAAAAACAUGUGGAUGAUGAGCUGGCCAAUUAUGAAAAGUUUAAAUAUGAGCUUUUUGAAUAGCCCAAAUUCGUAACUUUACUUAGGUUUAAAUGAUUUGGGAUAAUUUGGGCUUAUUUGAGUCUUAUUAGUAAUUGGUGAAUAAGACUUAUGUAUGGGCUAGAUUAGUUAAGUUGUUUUAAGUAUUUUGGAUUAUUUUGUUUUAGUUUGAGUUAAUUAAGCCCAUAUAAUCAAGUGUAACUCAUUUAGGCUUAAGUCUUGUCUUAGUGUUAUUACAAGAAUGAGCCCAUAACUAUAUGGUGUCACAAACAAUUAGUGGUGUUAGUUUAGAAGAUUGGAGUUACAAAGAGUCAUAUAACAAUUACAUGUCUAUAAUUAGCCUAGUUGUUGUUGGACUUACAAUUGUAAUUAUCACAUAAUUAGUUUAGUUAUUGUGGGAGUUACAAUUGUAGCUAUUGUGUUGUAACUUAUCAUUGAUUUAUUUGGCUAUAAAUACUAAAAGAACUCUUCUUUGUGGAUAUAAAGAGUAGUAAUCAAAUAUUUCAGAAUUGAGUUAAGAGCGUUUUGGCUCUCUUUUCACUUUAUGCACAAAGUAUUGAUUUAGAAUACAAUUGUUAUCACUUGUAUUCAAUUUUGAUUUCCUAUUUCAAUUGUUCUUGGUGCUUGUUUGGAUUGGGUUCAAGGGAUAUCAUUUAUCUUUCUUGGGUUCUAUUUAACUUCUAUCAUUUGGGUGAUUGAACAAAUUUAUUUCUUUUUUACUUGAGAUCUAAAUUCUGUUCUAAACCGAUUGAAGAGUUUUAAGGUUCAAGCAAGGAUCUUGGAGUUCCGCAUCACGUGGGGGAGGUAGACCAGCGAGUUUGAUGGAACAGAUAUCAGGAAAAUUGCAAACAAUGGGUAUGGAACACACAGCAAGAUUAACGUCCAUAUUCCUGUUCAUUCAAUUGUUAAAAAAAUGAUAACAACUUUUAUUUCUUUUUCAGGGAUCAUAAAGUUACAAUUUUACUUUCAUAAUCUAUUAUAGCUCUAUAAUUUUUCAACAAAUCUAUUUCUAAUAUUAUAUCAAAUCCUACAAAAUCUAAUAGUAUCAAGUUUAUAUAUACUUAUAUCCCUGAAGUUUUUAUCUUACAAUGCUUAUAUCCGCAAUGAGCCUCUAGUAGUCCCUUAGAGGGAGUUUCCACUACUAGCAUUUUUCCUAAAGCAUUUGAUCUCAAUUCUAGGUUAUCAACAAAUGCACGGGAAAUAAAAGAAUAUCUUGAACCAGUAUCAAUCAAAGCUUUGGCUGGAACAUUAUGAAUAGAAAGUACACCCGAGAUGAGAACAGGAGCAGGAAGGACUUCUGUUUCAUCUAAAUGGUAUACUCGAUCUUGUGCUAUGGGUCGGGCUACAUCAUUCGGUCACUGAGGGCAGUCUUUUAUAAGGUGUUGGGUGCUUUCGCACCGAUAGCAGACAUGAUUGAUAUGUUGGCAUGGUAGGUCUCCAUGCGAGUGACCAAAAUGUUGACAAGGUUGGUUAGUUCGGGCAAGUGGGGCUGUAGAUGGGGGCAAGGCAGGAAGUAGGGCAAUUCUAGUUUGUUUGUAUGAGAUUUUACUUACUGGGUCAGAUAAUCUCUUUCUAAGCUUGGGACUAUUCUUGAGCUUGAACUAGAGCAAAACGUUGGUGUUUAGCCGAGAUAAGAUCUUCAGCCAACUGGGCAUGUUCAAGCACCUCUGCAUAUGAGUUGGGUCUCAGCAUCGCGACCCGGUUAUAAAUAUCGGCACGAAGGCCCUUGAGAAACUUCUUACUUUUUGACUUUCGGGGAUAAAGGGGCAAAUCUAAACAGUUGAAUAAAUCGGGUAGCAUAUUGGCCUACAGACAAGCUUCCUUGGUGGAGGUCUUGGAAUUCUUCCUCUUUUUUUCCCGAACAUAAGUAGGAAAAAAAUUAUCAAAGAAAGCAUCCAUGAAAACUUCCCAGGUAGUAGGGGUAAGCAGGACUUUUUCUUAUGUCUCCACCAGUAUUUGGCUUCACCGUUUAACAUAAAGGCUGCAAGAGGAACUUUUUGUUCUUUGGUCAGGUCUAGUACAGAGAAUAACUUUUCUAUUUGUAGGAUGCAUGCUUCGACUACUAAAGGAUCAGGGCCACCUUUAAAGUGUGAGGGGUUAAGUUUCUUAAACUCUGCUAUAUUAUGGGAGAUAGACCGAUCUGGGUUUUGAAACACAAGGCAGAGGGUGGAUAAAAGUUGGCCUGGUUUUGUCCCACGGCUGUAGUUAAUCCUUGAACAACUCGAAAAAGUUUUACAAAUUCAGUCAUGGUCAAAUAAUCCGGGGCUUCAGGUUGUUCAGUACGUUAUACAGAUGGUCUUCUAUGUGUCAUUCCCACAAAAGAAAGGAAGACACGAGUUGGAGGUUUAAUCUUUGAAAAUAGGAUAUUUAUCUUUCCUAGGUACUUUAGACGAUUUAUCUAUCCUAGGCCUCAGUGUAAGAGAUUUGUUCCGCGAUAUUCUGGCUCUGUACCACCUGUGACAUUUUAGGUGCAAACUAAGGCAAAUGGAUGUGAGAUAUAGAUUUAGAAUAAUGAGUGCAUGAUAAUAUUUAUAUAGCAGAAUCAGACCUUAAUAAAUUCCUUACAUAUAUAUAUAAUAUUCCAAAUACAUACAUCACUAACACCAGAAGUGGCAACAAAAUACAAAACAUAAGAGCCAUUUCUUUCACUAUGCUACUGGAAUUCAUCAGAGUGUGGUCUGUGGAUCCACGGGAUCCUCAUAGACUUCUAAGAGUAGGUUUACCUGCGGUUCCUUAUUUUAUUCCUCCUCUGAGGGGGGGAGGGGAGGGGAAAGAAAAGAGUGAGUUCCAUAUGCUCAGUACGAAAAAUAGUAUUAAAUUAACAUCGUAAGAUUUCGAAUGUUUGUUAUUUUAUCUUACCAUUUAGUUUCCUUAUUUACCUAAUUGAUUAUUAGAAAAAACCAUUUAUUUGAAUAUCAAAAUAGUACGUUAACACAGAAAAUCAAAUAUACAUAUAUCAUGCAAAAUAAUAGAGAAAAUCAAAUAAAUCAUGAAAUGCACAGAUUUUUCGUGUCAUGCUUCGUGAAGUUGUUACAAACUUUUAUCUUUGAGAGCAAAUACAGAUACAAAUUUCCAACUAACCCAGUGGAAUGACUAGAUCAGAUAUAGAUACGACAAUUUACUCAGAUCCACUUCCGACUAGCCAAACCAUGGUACGAUCUAUGACCACGGUCGUAUCAACUAUAGUGGUCUUAACAGAUAAUCUAUAGUCACGAUAUUACUUAACCACGGGUGACCCCUACAGAUAAUGCGAUACCACUCUUGUCAGAGGACACGCCAUCAUCCACUAAAAGCAGUCCUCUUACUUCUUUCAAGACUAGAUAGGGGAGGAAAAAACAGAUACCCCGAAGGGUAAGGAGAAUAGAUAUCCCUCAGAGAUAAAAAAGUUAACGAGACACUUGAUGCAAUAUGCAUGUCAAUAAAGAUACACUUCGGACCAUACAAGCUUCAUCCCACUUUUUUCGUUUUCUUUUUCUUUUAUUUUACUUUUAUUAUCACGAACUACAUAUUACAUUUAUUACAUACAAUUCAUCAAGUGUCAGUAAAUCACACAGCAUGCUUGAAAAGCAAAACAAUUCAACUCAUUGAUAAGAGCAUGCAAACAUGCAAAAUAAUUAUCAUAUUAAAUUUACUUAUCUAAAAAUACUCCUUAAGACGUCAAAUGUAAUACUUGAUUCUUUACCGAAAUCUCGAUGUUUUCGUCUUCACCAUUUUUUUCUUUCUUUCUCUUCUUCUCUCACUAAGUUACUAUCUCUCUUUAAACUUUUGAAAAAUGGAAGAAAUGGAAGAGUGGAGAGAAAGGGAAGGGGGAGGGCAAUUUAUAAUAUUUUAGAAUCGUUGAAUUCGUACAAAGUGGCGAAAUUCAGUGAAGAGAGAGGUGAAAAAAAUUUUGGCAUGAAAAACGAGGAAGGAAAUUUUCCUCCACUGACGGCGGUGGCGCACCGCCCAAGGCAGCGACGGAGCACUGCCCAAGGUGGAAGAGCCCGGCCAAUGCACUGCAGGCUAGCCUGCAGGCGUAGAGGCCUGCUACCUUGUGCAUAGGGCCUAGGUGCACUUGGCGCAGCGCACGCAGGCUUAUUGCGUGCAAGCAACAGGUGCAGAGGGCCUGUAUGCGUAGGUCUGCUACGUGGACGAUGCGCGCAUAGUAUGCGGCAUCAGUCCAUGCGCAAAGUGACGGGCGGACGGAUUGCUUGCGUGCGACAAGAUGCACGCCCAUGUCCUGACCCCGUGUCAUGCGUGCUGUGCAAACAACCCAUGCGUGCUGGCAUACGGAUGGGACGUGCACAUUGUGUGCAUUCUCUACAGCCGCUGUGCAUGCAUGUGCGCUCGCACAGUGCCCAGAACCCGCACGGGCAUCCGUUUUCUUGUGAGAUUUUUCCCAGGAGUAGGUUUUCUCCCGUUUUGCCGUUUUUUAAUUUUUUUUGUAAAUUUUUCUUUUGAUAUAAAAUAAAAUAAUAAUAAAAUUAAUAAAUAAAUAAAAAUUAAAAUAAAAUAUAUUAAAAUCACAGAUCUCGAGAACAUUAUAAAUUAAUUUAAAUUUAAGGCGGCUAAAUUCCCUAAUAAAUAGAGUUUUUAAAUUAUUUUAGUAUAGUGAUAGACGGGGUGUUACAAAGAGAUUAUUUGGUAUAGAGCAAUUUAUGAAAGUUAUAUAGGAAUACAAUUAGUAAGACUACCUACCUUUAAAAUAUCUUUGAAAAUCGACUUGACUAUCAAGGGGCUCAUUCAUAUUAUUAGAGGAUUCCUUUAUUCCACUAAAUUGAAAUAUAUAUUUCUUAAAAUUGUUUGAUUUAUUUAGUGAAAAUAUCAUUUAGAUAAAAGUCUAUUUCUUUAUAAUAUAUGUAAAUGUAUUCUUAUAUUAUUGCAUUUUCUUUUCUUAAUUUUAGAUUUCUUAAUUUUAGAUUUCUCAAUAUGUCUGUUAUAUCACUACGUGAUAUACUUGAUGCCAACAAGUUGGUUGGACCAAAUUUUGAUGAAUGGUACCGAAAUUUGAGAAUUGUUCUCAUGCAUGAAAAGCUUAUUGAUAUGAUCGAUAAGUCUAUUAAAGAGACCCCGCCUGAGAUGAUGUUGAGGUAGUUAAGGAUUUUCAAAAAUACUUGACAGAUUGUCUUACCGUUAAGUGCAUUAUUCUUUCUUCUAUGAGUUCUAAACUCGAGAGGAAACAUGAGGAUAUGGAUCCCAGUGCAAUCAUCGACCAUCUUAAGAAGAUGUAUGGUGCACAAAGUAGGACAACUAGGUACCAAUUAUCUAAGUCUUUGUUUGAAUCCAAGGUGAAAUACUUUCUCAAUAUUUGAUCUUGUAGUCACUACCUGAGUUUUUUCCCAAUUUAUUAUUAAUUUCAACAUGAAUAAAAUGGAUUGUGAUCUUUAUGAAAUGCUCAAUAUGUUGAUUGAUUACGGGAAUUAAAUUGCAUCUAAGAAAAAGAAAGGAACUGAUAUGUUAGUUAGCAACUCAUCUAAGAAGAAAUGUGAGGGUAAGAAAAAACACAAGAAGUCUGCUGCACCUAAGGGUGGUGUGACCAAACCUAAAGGUAAGGCAAAAACUGACCAAUCUGAUGCUAAAUAUUCCUUCUGCAAGAAGAAAGGGCAUUGGAAGAGAAACUGUAAGGAGUAUCUUGCAUCUCUGAAAGAUAAGAAACAAGGUAAGACCUUAAUGAAAAGUGUUUUCAUGAUUUCUUUAACUUCUAUUAAUCCGUAUAUAUGGUAUUAGAUACCAGUAGUCAUUUUAACAUUUUGAAUACGUUGUAGAAACUACAGAUUAACAGAAGAUUGAAGAAAUGAGAACUUAAUCUUCAAGUUGGGAAUGGUGCAAAAGUUACAACCCUAGUUGUAGGAUUAAUUUCUCUUAGGAUGCCUACGGGCAAAAUACUUUUGUUGGAAGAUUGUUAUUAUGUUCCUAAAUUUAUUUCAAACAUAAUAUCAAUAAUUUUUUUGGACCAACAUGGUUUUCGAAUUAUUUUGAAUAAUGGAGUUUGCUUUAUUUAUCAUGGUGAUGAUUUAUAUGCAAAUGGUUAUCUCCCUCAUGGUAUUUAUGUCUUACCUGAUAUGAAUGAAAACUUAGUUUUGCAUAUUUUUAGUCUUAAGAGAAAAAGAGAUUAUCAAGUAAAUUAUAUAUAUCUUUGGCAUUAUAAGCUUGGUCAUAUUGGAGAGAAAAGAAUAAGCAAGUUGUACAAGUAAAGUUACCUUAACAAAUAUGAUUAUGAAUCAUAUCCAACUUGUGAAUUUUGUCUCAAAGAAAAAUUGACCAAAUCUCCAUUUGUUGGAAGUGGAGAAAGAGCUUCUGAAUUAUUGGAACUAAUUCAUACUGAUGUUUGUGUUCCCAUGAAAACUCAAGUCAAAGGAUGAUAUUCUUACUUUAUCACCUUCACUGAUGAUAUGUCAAGAUAUGAAUUUGUGUAUCUUAUAAAAUAUAAAUCUGAGUCUUUUAAAAUGUUCAAAAGAUUCCAUAGUGAAGUUGAGAAACAGAUUAGCAAAAGCAUUAAAGUGCUAAAGUUUGAUAGAAAAGAAGAAUAUCUUAGUGAUGAUUUUACUGGAUAUCUCAAAGAAAAUGAGAUUCUCUCAUAAUGGACCCCUCCUAGAACACCACAACAUAAUGGUGUGUUCGAAAAAAGAAAUUGAACCUUAUUAGAUAUUGUGAUAUCAGUGAUGGGGUUUACAGAUCUUUCAAUUAAUUUAUGGGGAUAUGCUUUAGAAAUUAUAGCAUAUUUGUUAAAUAAAGUACCCACUAAGUCAGUCUCUACAACACUAUAUGAGAUAUAGAAAGGAUAUAAACUGAGCCUUAAGCACAUUAAAGUUUAGGGUUGUCCAGCUUAUGUUAAAAGAUUACAAACUGAUAAGUUUGACUCAAGAUUUGAUAAGUGAAGAUUCAUUAGGUAUCCUAAAUAAAUAAUAGAAUAUUAUUUCUAUCACUCAUCUGACCAUAAAGUGUUUGUGGCCAAGGGAGCAACCUUUUCGGAAAGGCAAUUUCUUUUUGAAGGAAAUUAUGGUGAAAGAAUUGAACUUGAUAAAGUUUAAGAAACUAAUGACUCAAUAAAAGAAGAGGAUCGUGAGAAAUAUGUUGAGCAACCUUUAUUAGAUAUUUUGAAGAUGAUAAGGAAGUUGUCAUCUCUAAUGGUUGAGGUUCAAGAAACAAGUAUUGUUCACGGACCAGUUAGUGAACCUGUUCAAAAUCAUAUUAAGUAGUGACCUAAUCUAGUACAANNNNNNNNNNNNNNNNNNNNNNNNNNNNNNNNNNNNNNNNNNNNNNNNNNNNNNNNNNNNNNNNNNNNNNNNNNNNNNNNNNNNNNNNNNNNNNNNNNNNNNNNNNNNNNNNNNNNNNNNNNNNNNNNNNNNNNNNNNNNNNNNNNNNNNNNNNNNNNNNNNNNNNNNNNNNNNNNNNNNNNNNNNNNNNNNNNNNNNNNNNNNNNNNNNNNNNNNNNNNNNNNNNNNNNNNNNNNNNNNNNNNNNNNNNNNNNNNNNNNNNNNNNNNNNNNNNNNNNNNNNNNNNNNNNNNNNNNNNNNNNNNNNNNNNNNNNNNNNNNNNNNNNNNNNNNNNNNNNNNNNNNNNNNNNNNNNNNNNNNNNNNNNNNNNNNNNNNNNNNNNNNNNNNNNNNNNNNNNNNNNNNNNNNNNNNNNNNNNNNNNNNNNNNNNNNNNNNNNNNNNNNNNNNNNNNNNNNNNNNNNNNNNNNNNNNNNNNNNNNNNNNNNNNNNNNNNNNNNNNNNNNNNNNNNNNNNNNNNNNNNNNNNNNNNNNNNNNNNNNNNNNNNNNNNNNNNNNNNNNNNNNNNNNNNNNNNNNNNNNNNNNNNNNNNNNNNNNNNNNNNNNNNNNNNNNNNNNNNNNNNNNNNNNNNNNNNNNNNNNNNNNNNNNNNNNNNNNNNNNNNNNNNNNNNNNNNNNNNNNNNNNNNNNNNNNNNNNNNNNNNNNNNNNNNNUGAGAGCUAUCAUAUAUAUCAUGACAUGUACACGUCUGAUGUGGCUUAUGCACUAGGAGUGACUAGCCGAUAUCAGACAAAUCCUAGUGAGGAAUAUUGAAAAGUGGUAAAGACUAGUCUUAAGUACUUGAGAAGAACUAAAGAUUAAUUCCUCAUUUAUGGAGAAUCUGAGUUAAAAGUAGAAGGUUAUAUUGAUGCAAGUUUUGCUUCAGACAAAGAUGAUAGCAAAUCUAUAUCUGGUUAUGUUUUCACUUUAAAUGGUGAUGCAGUGAGUUAGAAAAGUUCUAAACAAACUACGGUAGCUGAUUCAGUGACCGAAACAAAAUAUAUAGCAACAAGUUAAACUGCUAAGGAAGCUGUUUGGAUGAAGUUCUUAACUAAAUUUGGUGUGGUUCCUUCAAUAGAAGGUCCAGUUCCAUUAUUGUGUGACAAUAUUGGAGCGAUCAUUUAAGCAAAGGAGCUGAGAUCACAUCAAAAGUCCAACCACUUGAUUAGAGAAAUCAUUGAACGUAGAGACGUUAAAAUUCAAAAAGUUAAUGGAAAUGAUAAUGCAGAUGACCUGUUCACUAAGGCUCUUAGUGCAAAGGAGUUUGACCAACAUAACGGGAAGUUAGGAAUGAAGUACAUGAAAAAUUAGAUCUAGUGCAAGUGGGAGAUUGUUAGGGAUAUAAGUAUUAUGCUCACGAUCCAAUUAUUCGUAUAAUAUAUUAAAUACAUUAUUAUUUGACAAUUUAUUUUAAUAUAUGACAAUAGUAUUUUUAUUAUCUUAUCGUUUAAUUUUUGUAAUAAAGUUCUUGAUUAAUUUAUAAGUUUUACAUCAAAAUAGAGAUCUUGAUAAUGAGAGUAAAAUCUUCUAUGAUUUAAUUUAAAAUGUUAUUAGUCAUUAGAUCAUCAAAAUAUAAUACUAAUAAUCCGGUAAGACUAAUAUACAUGUAAUAGUCUUUAUAAGAUAAAAAUUAGUUGAUCUUAUUAAUUAAAUCACAUAUAUAAAUGAUGCAUAUGGAAAUAUAAUAAUUUAGUCGACCCAAUUAAGAAUUUUUAAUGGUUAAUAUUGCCUUAAACUGUCAGUAGAGUAUUCUCUUAUUUUGAUGAGACAUAAGAAUUUUCUUAUAUCUGAAAUCAUCAUAAUAAUUUAUAAGUCAUUUAUUAUAUUUUGAUUCUGAACACUUAUAGUCAUAUAACUGUAAUUGAAGGAUAUUGAGUGUGAUUAAAAACUUGUAGAAUUAAUGAUUGAUCAAGAUAGAAUCUAUCAACUUUGAUAAUAAGUUUAAGCUCUAUGCUGUCAUUUAUUAUAACGAGUAAAUUAAGACCUUGGUCAGGGCAGUUGAAUGAAAGAAAAAAAUAUUUUCUUAUAUCAUUCAUUAAUCAAUUAUAAUUGACAUGUAGCAUAGUCAAUUACCUAUUGAAAUUUGACAGAUAAACCAUAUCCUAUGGUUAAUCCAGAGCAAUAAUGACAGAAUGAAAUAUUACAUCUUUCUUUAGCAGGUUCUUACGAGUAAUUGUACAUUUUAUGUUAUCCGGUCGUUGAAGAGUGUUGCUAAAUGUUAACCUUAAUUAGGAAAUUAGUUUGACCAAUUUGCUAUCGGUUUAGUGUUAAACCUAUGGAGUCGCACACUAAUGAGUGUUUUGACUUUCACUAAAUAGAUUAAUUAUUUGAGAAUUAAAUUAAAAAUUUUAAUUUAAUCAAAUAAAUAAAAUUUUUGGUCUAAAUAUAAUAUUAUUAUAUUCUUUAUUAGUACUAAAAAUAUAAUUAAUAUUAGAGACAAAUUAAUUUUUUUAUUUUUGAAAUAGAAAAUUAAUAUUUAUAUUUUUGAGUUAUUAUAUUAAUAGUGUAAUAAUAUAAUGUGUAGUUAUUAUAAUAAUUGAGAUUAUUAUAAAAUUUAAUUUAAAAUUAAAUUGAUUUAUAAAAUUGUUUUAUUAAAUAAUAAUAAUUAAAUAAAAAACAUAUAUAUAUGUAAAUAAAAAAGAAAUAAAAAAGAGGUAGAUCAAUCCAAAUAGAUUUGGACGUCUAAAGGGAGAGUCCAAUAUACACAGACGAGUUGAGAAAUUAGCCGCACACUAAAACAAAAAAAAUUAGAGAAUUUUUUUGUUAAAAUUUUAUGAGAAAAUUUGAACUCAUAUUGUUCAUCUAUUCUGUUGAUCAAAAAAUUGAAUAAUAAAAGUUAAUUUUGGUAUUAAUACGCAUAAAAUAUUUGUAUUUUUAAAAAAUUUUAAUUUAAAAAUUUACUGUCAAAUAUAUUUUAAAUUUAAUUUUUAAACUGUAAUAUAAAUUUUAAAUAUAAAUAAAUCAGAUUGUNNNNNNNNNNNNNNNNNNNNNNGGAGUUACAAAUAAGUUAAAAUGAACCAGUAAAGUGGUCCUGACGAUGACAUCCAUGCCAUUUUCCAAGUAGUCUUCAAAUCUGGGUGUAGAGUUUUUGUAACUCCAUUUCGCUUCUGGUAAGAACGCGUUACACAUGUAUAUACACCCAUAUAAGUUAUUGGUUUCAGAAAAUGAAAGUAUUUUUUAUUAAAAUAAAAUGAGUUCACGUGGGAUAGUUACCGCUUUUGUGAGAUAAGGAAGAACAAUUUCUCCUUUCUCCUUGAGAAUUUCAUUAACCACACCAUUGAUGGUGUUGUAGAGUAAUGGGAAAAACAACUUCAUGUAAUCAGGAAGGUUUUCAACAUUCUUCACAUCCCAUCUGAAAUCAAAUUAUCACAAGUUCAAAGUUAGGAAACACUCGGUUAAUAUUUGACCAUCUGGAUUCGUUUUACUUUGAGGAUUUUAUUAAAACAUGAUAAUUUCCAGCAUUAAUUUGCUUAUUUAAUUAAUUUUAUACGAAUAUAUAUAUAUGUAUAUAUAUAUAUAUUGUAUUCCAAGGGACCAAAAGAAGCAUUUCAUUAAUCUAACUCUUGCAAAACUCAAUUUAUUUGACAUCUCUAAAUUAGUCCACCAUCUAAACACAAAUAUAUAUAUAUAUAUAUAUAUAUAUAUAUAUUUAGGUACACUUAGGAAUUACAAUAAUUUUCUAAUCAUUGACAAUUCAGUUUAAAUCAUUAAAAUUAGAGUAUCAUAAUUAAUAUAUCUAACUUUGACAUGUCUCCCAAAUAUCUUUGGAAAGAUUAACUGCUUCAUAUUGAAAUCCAGAGAAGCGAGUUGAAGUACUUCUGAUUUUGCAUCAUGUUUUUUACUAUAAGCUUCAAUACUCCAUCGAGCUUCCAGCCUUUUCAUCCUGCGGUUUAAUGGAGUUUCUAUCGCAUGAUUUACUUCUUUGACAAUCAUUUGGUCCAUGUCUUCUUCUUCCCUAACUUUCCUUAUAUGAUUUCUUGUGAAUUCCUUAGCCUUGUCCAAGAUGUUUUCUCCUUUAUAUUCCAAAUAGGAAGCUUAAUAGAGGCUCAAAAUUUCCUUCACAUCCUCGUAUACACUUGACUUGAAACUAUCAUUUUUUUUUUUAAAUGCUAAACACACGUGUAUUUGUACAUCGUAAGUUUAAUUUUAUUUAUUUAUUUUUUUUAAUAUUUUAAUUUGACGAAUUUAUAUAAUAAAAUAUAAUACUUAAUAUUUAUUAAGUACUCUGUUAAAUUAAAAAAAUUAUCAAUAUAAAAAUUAAUAAAUUAUAGUUUAUAAAUUAUGGUUCAUAUAUUUAAAAUUUUGAUAAUUGUAUUAAUCUGUAUAUCUCUAUGUAUAUAUAUUUGUUCUAGAAAAUUUAUAAUGAUAACCACAAAUUUAAAAUUUCAAUCUUUAUAAUGAAAUAUAAUAUUUGAUAAUUAUUUUAUAUAUAUAGUGACGUACCUUGGAAGACUUGAUAGCCAUGUUGUCUAAAGUAAAGAGCAGUUAAAUGUAAAUUCUUGUCCGUUCUUGUAUGAAAUUCUUGAUAAAUCUUAUCUGAGAACUUUUGCUAUAUCCUUCUCGAGACGGUAGCCUAAUCCUAGCCGUUCAAUUUCAUCAAUCAGUUAAAGUCUCUCCCACAGAUCUGCACCUUCAUCGUUGAUCAUCAUGCACCUCACUUGCUCCUCUAACUUCCACGUCUUUCUUUAUAGACUUCAACCUACACUACGUGUUAUAGUAAAUUAACAUAGAAAUUACAUGAAAAAUAAAUUAGAAAAGAAAAAAAAAAAAAAAGAGAGAGAGUAAAUAUUGUAGUUACCGGCUGGUGAGAGGAGGUUAAUGACUGCAAGAGCUUAUGGCUCCACGUGUUGGGUUGGUAAUUAGCAGUUACUGUUGUUUUCAAGUCAACAGCGAAGUGCCGGCGCAGUCAACGAACAGCGAGUCUUACAAACAUGUAGACAUUUUUUAUUUUGUGUAGUGUAAGGAAGGCUGUAAUUGGUCAGUUUAGGAGCCAAGGAGGAAGAGCAUUGGGGCAUUGUACGCAGAACUUUGCUUGCCAUUAAUUCCAAAACACCGUAGUUUUGAUCAUCUGGGAUACUCUCCACGAGCAAAAAAAAGAUGGAAAACUUUUUGAGAAUUGAGAUGGAAGCCUGGAAUGCUCUGCGAUAAUGAUUUUUGAGGAGGUAAUAAGUUUGGUUUGGCCUUCUGGAACUUCCCACGUGUGUUCACCAAAUCCAGAAACAUGGAUGUAAAAAUUGUUAUUUACUUACUGAUAUUUCAAAUAUUACGAUAUUGAAGAUCAAAGCUAUGAUUAUAUUUUAUAUAUCAAGUAACUAAAAUAUAAAAGAUUUGUAUCAAACACAAACAAAUUCCAUUGCUACUUGGAAGAAACUAGGACAAACAGAAACUUUCAAAGAUCAAUAUUCAAGAAUAACAUCAUUCUCUAGUAUUUCAACACAAAGCAUUUGCAAUUCUAUUUGGCUACAAAGCAUCAGAAGAAUAGAUUUCCUAUUGUUGGCAUUAGAAAUAGCAUAGGACAAUCUUAAGAGCUUUCAGCAGCAGACUGGGUCACUCCAGACUUCACAAGCAACUUGUUGAGAGAAUCAGGAGGGCAAACCUGAUACUUCACCUGCCCAGCUGGAGUGAGAAACACCUCGGCCAACUCAAGCUUUUCACCAGUAAGACUCGUGCUGUCCAUGGUCUUGCUAAGGACCUUCAAUGAAAGCUGAACCGCCUCCUCCCUUGUCAUAUCAUCCUUGUAGUCCUGUUUAAGCAUUGAUUGUGCAGCUGCAUUGUUUGCUCCAAUGGCUGCAGCUUUCCAUCCACUGUAGUUUCCACUGGGAUCGGUCAUAUAUAGUUGGAAGCCAUAGUUUUUGUCCCAUCCAGCAAAGAGAAAAGAAACGCCAAAGGGACGCAGACCACCAAACUGAGUAUAUCCUUGCUUGGUGUCACAGAGAGAUUGAACUAGCUGCUCGACGGGCAUUGGCUCUUGGUAGGCAUAAGUGUAGCGUUGGGCUUGGACCCUAGCCGUGUUGAUUAGGAUGUUGGCAUCAGACAUUAUUCCAGCAACAGCACAAGCAACAUGAUCAUCGAUCUUGUACAUCUUCUCGGUGGAUGUUGAGGUUUGCAAGAGUUUGGAUGUAACCUUCUUUUCACCGACCAAAACAACACCAUCUUUUGCUAGUAUUCCAAUAGCAGAACCAGCAUUUCCUAUGGCCUCCAUGGCGUAUUCAACUUGGUAUAGGCGACCUUCUGGGGAGAAGAUUGUUGUACGGCUAUCAUAUCUUCGGGACAUAUUUGAUUACCCUAAUUGAUCAUAAGAGAAAAAGGAACGGAAGUAUGCAUCAGUAGGAAUAGAAAAUAUCAUAAAAGUUUGGAACUAGUGAAAGGAUCCAAGAAAACAUGAGACUGAAGAUUAGAAAGUCUUGACAUUUUCAGGGGAUCAUACAACCUAAGUUAACCUCCAGCUAAUAUGCAUAAUUCGAGCUUCUUUCCUCACUAAAAAAUUUUAAAAGAAAACAUGAAAUUAGCAUGAGAAUUAGGGUUGAAAUCUUCACAAGAAAUGAAUAUUUAUUAUUUAAACAACUUUUUAAGAAAGAUAAGCAACCUUAAGGUCACCUUCUACUUUGAACUCCCAGACCCUUGUUAUGGCCAGGAAAAUGAGAUGUCGCACCACCACAGACCAAACAUUAACACAAGCUCAUGAAAAUUCAAUAGUGUGAUUUUCAAGGUUUUUAACAACGAAAACCCAAGCCCCACUUCAAUGAUAAUGCAAAGGGGCAGCAAAUUCCUUACUCCAACAACUACUCCACCUAGCAAACCAUUUUGACUGCCAAAAGGAAAUUAUAAGCAAGGGAACCAAGGAGGUAGCACCAUGUACAAGAGAGAGAAAACAAGAUUAAAUGAGCCAAAAUGUCCUCGAGGUCCCAAAAUGUUCUUCAUAAACAAUAGAAUGACCUUUAACAAAAUAUACAAGGUUUAGAACAAGAAGUCGCGAUUCUAUGUAACAGGAAUUAAGGAACAAAUAUGCUAAAAUUACAAAAACCAAGUGAAUGAAACACCAAGAAACCAGAGUUCCGAAUCUCUCCAUAGGCCCUUUAGAGCCACAGCUUGGAUCGGUCCAAGGGCAUAGUUGUGAACUAGAAAUGGCCAAAUUUCUCUCAACCAUUAGACGUAGGAGAGAUUUUUUAGUCAACAAAGAAACUAAAGAAAGAAUAGGGAUUCUAGAUGCAAGAGAAAGAGAGAUUAAAAUUAAUCAUUCUAGAUGCAAGAGAAAGAGAGAUUAGAAUUAGUCAUUCUAGAAGCAAGAAGAACAAAGUAGUUCAUAACUUAUUUCACAAUAUUAACCACACUUGCAAUGCGAAUUGUACAGGUGCAAAUACCUGAACCAUCAUUAAAAAAAAGUAGUCAUUUCUAGAUGUAAAAAGAGAAGAAAGUAGUUCAUAACUUAUUCCAUAAUAUUAACCACACUUGCAAAUCGAAUUGUACAGGUGCAGAUACUCGUUCUACCAUUAAAAUUGUUGUAAAAGGCAAUCUCCUAACAUACUACAUUUAGGGAUAUAUGUUUUUCUUGUUCUAUAAUGUCCCUAGACGGUACAAGCCACUAAGCUUACCACAAUCACACUGUUCAAUAAGUUUUUUUUAAAAAAAAAAAUACUCUCCUUAGUAGCUAGAAAGCAAAUUUCAGCCAACUGUGUGUCAUACACAAUAAUAAUGGGCUACGAGUAGAACCUGGUUGGUUUAUUCUUGUUCUAUGGUUUAUUCUUCCAAAGACACAAUCUCAAUGGACAAAUCUCUUCGAAAAAACUGCUGCUGCAUGUGUUCACAAACAAACUGUUUAUCCCUUCAUACUUUUGAUGUAAUGUGAAGCACAUUAAAACUGAUUAUUAGAUAAAAAAAUUUAUUGUUUAAGAAACAAGAACUGCUAACUUCAUUACAAGCCAUCAUCUUCCCCAUGUAAUUCUUCACACUUCUUUCAUAUUAGCAGAAAACCAGAACAACUGCCUCCAAAAUAAUCAAGCCUCCUUCAGUUAACCUCAUAACCAAGCUCUAGAGAGUCUAAAGACUAUACAGAAUAAACAGUAGCAAAGCAGUAACAAGACAAUGUUAUGAGUACUAAUAACUUGUGAGACUUAAAAUAUGAUAAGCAGAACACAGAAAAUCCUCUAACAGGAAAUGAAAUCUUCCUAGAUAACAAUCAAAUUGCCUCCAUUAGCAGAAAACAAGAGUAACUUGCUCCAAAAUAAUCACAGCUCCCUUAGUUAACCCCAUAACCAAGCACUAAAAUCACUGAAAAUUAAACAGAAUAAACAGUAGAGGAGCAGUAACAAGACAAUGCUACGGAUACUAAUAACUUGUGAGACAUAAAAUAUCAUCAGCAGAGUUAAAACACAGAAUAUCUUCUACCAGGAAACAAGAUCCUCCUAGAUGGCAAUCAAAUUGCCUCCACUAAAGGUUUUCAUACAAAUUACGUACGGCCUAAUUUUCAAACUGAGUAAGGAACUUGGACAAAUUGCAUGAAGGAAAUGAAUUCUCAUGAAUUUAGGAACUCCAAGGAAAUGCAUAAAGGUAGUAAAUCCCCAUUGUUGACUCAAGACAAGGUGAGGCUAUCCAAGAAUCAUGCAAUACCACUGGCCCUUUGAGGUAUAUGCCGGAACCCUCUUGAUGGUAUAGGCUAAAUAACAACGCGAGGUACUUGCUAUCUAUGUUCUAAAGACUCAAGAAAGAGAAGACUUGCAAAAGAGUGAUAAACAGUAGAAAAUAGAAAUGUAGAUGUAGUAGAACGCAAUUCUAACAAGCUAGCAAAAGCUAAAGCAACACCCCGUUGCUUAUGUAUGAAAUAGCAAUAUAUUAACGAUGGUGGCUGUAAAAAACAAAAAGGAAUUGAGAGGACCAUAGAACUUGAACCAAGCAUCUCAAGAGCAAAAGGAAAACAAUAGCUAAACAGAAGAUCUAAAGACGAACUAAUAAAUAUAAUGAAACCGAUUUUGGGCUGAAAAUCACCCAAGAGCUAACCAUGCAGUGGUAAUUAAAAAGAAAGAAAAAAAAAAAGAAAACUUGAAACCUAGACACUCAUUUCAAAUACACAAAGCUAUUCUUUUGGUUUCACCAGUUUGGACUCAAGGAGAAAUAGAAUCCCUCAUGAACAAAGUCAAACAGCAAGUAAAAAGAUUGAAAAGAAAGGGAACAACUGCAAUGAAAAUAUAGCAUAUAAAUAGUGAUAAAAUAAGUAAAAUCAGAUGCAAUAACCAAAGUGUUAAGUGCCUUGGACAGAACAUCUGUCUACAAACACAACAAGAUAUGAAAGAUCAAUUGUUUAAAGUAUUGAAACAACAAGCAGUUAAAACAUGAUUAAAAGAAGAACAUGGGUGGCUAUACAAUACAAACAGAAUUUUAGAAUUAAUAAUAACAUGUCUGGGUACAUAAAAAUAUAAUAAAACUGAGAAAAAAAGAUGCAAAUACAUGUUUAUGACCCAAGACAUAUAACUGCAUAAGGAUAUAUUUACAUAUAUAUGUAUGUAUGUGUGAAAACAUGUUUUACACAGUUAUACACCAUUAAAUUCAGAAGCGAAAAGCAAACCAGAGAAGUAAAUAUGCACAAGAUGAAGUUUAAAUCUAACUCAAAAGCAUUGUAUAAAAUAGCAUACAAAAACGUUAUCUGGUACUUAGACCAGAAAGCCGCAAAGAAAGACGUAGCCUACCGUCGGGUGUGUACAUAUACAUAUAUGAGAUGGUACCUACGCUAACAGAAAACCGCAGAAACUUUAGGGGAAAAGAUAGAACCAAAGUAAAGAAAGCAGAUAUAAGGAGCAAAAAAAGAUCCAGCACACAGAGAGGGCAUAUCUGUUCAGGUAAUCAACAUACUCGAUCUACAUUCACGUAAGGGUAUGUACGGAUACAUACAUAUAUAUAUGUAUGUAUGUAUUGAUGUAUAUACGCGCACGCAAAUAUAUGGUCAUAAAACCACAUAAACAAUAGAAUUAAGCUAAAAUAUAGAAAGAUAUUUCAUGUUAUCAGAAUCAGCAUAUAGAAAUGAAAAAAAAAACCCCGAAUCUGCUUUCAUCAUCUAGGAAAUCAAGGACCUGUCAUAGCUGCAUAGCAACAUAGGUAAAAAAAUAAUUUUUUUAAAAAAAAAACAGAGGAUUGUACUUAUAUGCUAUAUUUGCUUAGUCAAAUCAGUUAGAAGGGAGAAAGAUGACAGGGCGUGCUAAUUUUCCCUUGAUGGNNNNNNNNNNNNNNNNNNNNNNNNNNNNNNNNNNNNNNNNNNNNNNNUCCAGAAACUAUUCCACUCCAUUUUCUCACAAAAUAGAAAUCUCAUAAACAAAAAUGCAACAGAAAUUUCAAAAAAGAAAAUCAAAACAACAACAAGAACAACAAUAGCGAUGAUAAAGUCGACGAAACAAGAACGGAUAAAUGCAGGAUCUAACUCACCUGUAAAUUAUUCUCACCAAAGCAGCUAAUGCUCCGUCUAAGAAGCUACAGGGAUUAUAUUUCAGCUGCGAGUGUACUAGACUUGUUCUUCAAGAAAAUUGUUGACGCUUAUAAAUAAUGAUUUUAUUUUCUUUUCACAUUUCCUUUAGAAGUUUAUGAAUCGAAGCUCUCGGCCCAAUCCAAAAAUUGAGAUCUUCCUCAUGGGCUAAUUGUUAAAUAAAUAAAUAAUAAAUUCAGUAGCCAAGCUUAAUUGUUAAAUAAAUAAUAAAUAAUAAUAAAAUCAGUAAAAUUGUGGAAAUAAUAAUAAAAGUUUUUUAAAAUAUAAUAUAUCAAUAAAAUAAAUUAAAUAUUAAUAGUAGCUAAUGGACCAAUCCAAACCCGAUCCAUAAGGCUCGCAAACGAAGUUCGAGCCAGACUGCCCCUAUAUUGGGCCGCGCUAAUUUGCUAAAGCUUGGGUCUGACGGCCCAUUUGUAGAAAGGCCGCUCAUCGCCUGGCCUGUCUAUUUUUUAUAUUUAUUCAAAAAUAUAUAUAUAUAUUGUUUAUAAUAAGAUUCUAGUUUCAAUAUUUUAUAAAUAGUAACUGAAAAUGCAAUAUGCAUGUUGAUAUUGUUUGAAAGUAAAUUCUAAAACUUAGUUUUUUUCUUACGAAUGAGAAAGAAAACCUAGAACUGAAAGAGACGACCCAUGGUCUACAUAUGGUAAGUGGUUGUGCUAAUUCGGAGCAUAGGUAAAAGAAAUGUAUCCCACAGAAAAAUCAUGUGCCCGCAAAGCAAGAUGAUCGGCAUAAGAAUUGUAGUCUCUAUGAAUAUGAAAUAUCUAGAUUUUUCAAUCAAGAGCGAGCAUAACCUUAAAUUGUAUUUCCAGAUCUACGGUGAGGCAUAUGCUGUGCGGGCACAGGGAGAGUCAACUUCAACAAUGAACUUACGAAUGCUACGAUCCCACUAAGUUUGAGGCGAUUAAGUACCCCAUUAACCUCAGCAGUUAAGGGAUGAUUAACGUCAUGAUUAAAAAUUUAAACCAUUUUUUUUUAAGUGUAACAGUUCAGACAUACAAAAUUUAAUUAAUGUGGAUUUCAUAUUUAUUUAAUAUGGUAUAGUACCCAAGAGUACUACAAAUACAUCCAUACAUACAUACAUACACACACACACACACACACACACAUAUAUGCGCACUCCAUACAUUAAUCAAAGGAGGAAAUUCUCAUUUAUAAUGAUCAGAAAGAAAAUGACACAGUUUUUGGUAAUAUCAAACCUUGAAACAUGUUUUUCUGUCUAACUGGGUUUAAAAGAGAAAUAUGAACUCUACAAAGUUACAAAUAAAAAGAUGAUUCACGGAAGCUGAAGCUUCUUUUUCCUGGAAACUUGAUCCAAACACCCUCAAAACAAGCACAAAAGCCAUUUAUUAAGAUACAAAUAUAUAGAUUAAUCUCUUGAGUUCUUCAAGUCGUUCUACCAAAAUGAUGAUCGAUCAAGUCAAGCAGGGCACUUGAAUCCUGGCGGCGGAUACUUCCCGCAGUCAAUGAGAACUUCAAGAGCAAUGGGUAAAAUAAUACUGAUAUUAAGAAGCUUUGCCUUAAUAGUGGUGCAGAGACAAAGGGCAGCAUCCAAAUCCACCAGUCCCUGAAGCACGGGACAGCACGUGUCCUUUGCACUACUGCCGAUCCCAAUAUGCACCAGGCCACCCAAGACAUCAACGCAUGCGCCCAGUUUGAGGGUGUCAAUGGGGCACGUUUCUUGCUUCGGCGGCGGAGGCGGACAUGGUGUCUCCGGGGUGGGAGUAGGCGGUGGAUUGACAAUGGGGGGACUUGGAUGGUAAGGGGGUGGCAAUGGUGGGUUUAUGAUGGGGGGUUUGGGGACAAUGGGAGGUGGCUUUGGCACGUAGGGAGGGUUAACAGGGGGCUUUGGCACGUAGGGUGGGUUAACAGGGGGCUUUGGCACGUAGGGUGGGUUAACAGGGGGCUUUGGCACGUAGGGUGGGUUGACUGGGGGCUUUGGUGGCUUAAUGUGGGGGGGAGGGUGGACGACUGGAGGCUUUGGUGGCUUAGGGUGCGGCGGUGGCUUGACGACAGGGGGCUUUGGUGGUUUAGUGUGCGGCGGUGGCUUGACAAAUGGGGGGUGUUUAGGUGGGAACUUGGGGGGAUGAUGGUGUUUGGGUGGAGUUGGGUAUGGGCAGUAGGGACAAGCAAGUGAAGUGAAGAGAGUUGCUAAGUUCAAGAGAAUUACAAGGUGGUUGACAAAACCAUUCUUCCCCAUUCUCUCAAUGGAUGGAUU